UACAGAGACCUCAAGCGUUAUCCGGAUUUAUUGGGCGUAAAGCGUCCGCAGGUGGUUCAUUAAGUCGUCGGUCAAAUCCCGGGGCUCAACCCCGGAACUGCCGACGAUACUGGUGGACUUGAGACCGGUAGAGGCAAGCGGAAUUACAGGUGUAGCGGUAAAAUGCGUUUAUAUCUGUAAGAACACCAAAGGCGAAAGCAGCUUGCUGGAACGGUUCUGACACUCAUGGACGAAAGCGUGGGGAGCGAAA
RNAcentral lists this ribosomal RNA (250 nucleotides) under uncultured bacterium. RNAcentral describes it as "partial 16S ribosomal RNA". It matches the Rfam family "Bacterial small subunit ribosomal RNA", at positions 524 to 773 of the family's 1533-position model. The record is from RNAcentral.